RNAcentral lists this ribosomal RNA (484 nucleotides) under uncultured bacterium. Its description in RNAcentral is "partial 16S ribosomal RNA". It matches the Rfam family "Bacterial small subunit ribosomal RNA", at positions 30 to 507 of the family's 1533-position model. The record is from RNAcentral.
AUUGAACGCUGGCGGCAUGCUUUACACAUGCAAGUCGAACGGCAGCGCGGUCUUCGCCUUCUCUGCCGGUGGCGAACUGGUGGGUAAUUCAUCGGUACGUGCCCAUUUGUUUUGUAUUGCUCGGCGACAUCCGGAUUAUUACCGCAUUCGACCUUACGACCAACGCGUGGGAUCUUCGGAUCUCCCGCUCUUGCACCGUCCGAUGGCAGAUUAGCUAGUUGGUGGGGUAAAGGCCUACCAAGGCGACGAUCUGUAGCUGGUCUGAGAGGACGACCAGCCACACUGGAACUGAGACACGGCCCAGACUCCUACGGGAGGCAGCAGUGGGGAAUAUUGGACAAUGGGCGAAAGCCUGAUCCAGCAAUACCGCGUGUGUGAUGAAGGCCUUCGGGUUGUAAAGCACUUUUGGCGGGAACGAAAAGGAGUGUGUCAAUACCACGGUGCGAUGACGGUACCCAAAGAAUAAGCACCGGCUAACUACGUG